This 494-nucleotide ribosomal RNA is filed under the name uncultured bacterium. RNAcentral describes it as "bacterial SSU rRNA". It matches the Rfam family "Bacterial small subunit ribosomal RNA", at positions 28 to 467 of the family's 1533-position model. The record is from RNAcentral.
GACGAACGCUGGCGGCGUGGAUUAGGCAUGCAAGUCGAACGGUAGAUAUCCUUCGGGGUAUUGAGAGUGGCGAACGGGUGAGUAACACGUAGGUAAUCUACCCUCAAAUCGGGGACAACCCAGGGAAACUUGGGCUAAUACCGGAUGAGUGCAGCACCUAAAUCAUCCAUACGGAAUCUGGUUAAGAUUGGGUUUUGUAUGGUUGGGUGAUUUAGGUGCUGUAUAAAAGAUGGCUUCGGCUGUCGUUUGAGGAUGAGCCUGCGCUCUAUUAGUUAGUUGGUGAGGUAAUGGCUCACCAAGGCGAUGAUAGAUAGGCGGCCUUAACGGGUGGUCGCCCACACUGGGAUUGAGAUACGGCCCAGACUCCUACGGGAGGCAGCAGUCGAGAAUAGUCUACAAUGGACGAAAGUCUGAUAGUGCGACGCCGCGUGAACGAUGAAUCCCUUCGGGUGUAAAGUUCUUUUAUAUGUGAGCAAUGCCUUAUAUGUGAAUAG